This 376-nucleotide ribosomal RNA is filed under the name uncultured bacterium. Its description in RNAcentral is "bacterial SSU rRNA". It matches the Rfam family "Bacterial small subunit ribosomal RNA", at positions 524 to 898 of the family's 1533-position model. The record is from RNAcentral.
UACGUAGGUGGCGAGCGUUGUCCGGAAUUACUGGGCGUAAAGGGCGCGCAGGCGGCGCGUUAAGUCCGGGGUGAAAUCCCACGGCUCAACUGUGGGGGGACCCUGGAUACUGGCGUGCUGGAGUGCGGGAGAGGGAAGCGGAAUUCCACGUGUAACGGUGAAAUGUAUAGAUAUGUGGAGGAACACCGGUGGCGAAGGCGGCUUCCUGGACCGUAACUGACGCUGAGGCGCGAAAGCUGGGGGAGCGAACAGGAUUAGAUACCCUGGUAGUCCCAGCCGUAAACUAUGAACACUAGGUGUGGGGGGUAUCGACCCCUUCCGUGCCGCAGCUAACGCAAUAAGUGUUCCGCCUGGGGAGUACGGCCGCAAGGUUGAA